GGUGACCUGCACAAGUAAUAACAUGAAUAAGAUUCACUAUAUUAGCACAAAUGAAGAAAUAUGACAUCAGUAGAAAACAUGUCAAGUGCAUUUUCACAGAUGUUCUAGCCUAACAAAGUAAAGAAACCAUAAGGUUCACUAUAUUAGCCCAAAUAAAGAAAUAUGACAUCAGACAGAAAACAUGUCAAGUGCAUUUUCACAGAUGUUACAGCCCAACAAAGUAAAGAAACCUGAAUCUCGAGAAAACACCUCAAAUUUAAAAUACCUCCCCAAUACGAGUUCAUUUGUGUGUGUCUGAGCUUUCAGGACACAAGCUCAUGUGCUUUCAUAUCAUCAAUACUUAGUGCACAAUCAGGAGUAUACAAACAAAAUACACUACCCAGCUAAUGAGUUGAUGCAUUGUAUCAUUGGACCUGUCUAGACAUGUAGUAGUACAGUAGAACAAGAAGGCGAGGCAAGAGAAAAACAUAAACCAUCAAACUAAGAAUACGAUAAUCAUAUAGCCUUUAAGCUGCUCUAUGGAAUCAAAUGACAAAAAGGUGUGACGAAAGCUAUUCAAAUACAAAAUGCUUGGCUGCUAAGUGGGGAUUUCAACUAUGUGCUAACUACUGAAUAUUGAAUAGGACCACCUGUCACUCAAUCAGAAAUCCAAAGAUUUCAGGAUUUGGUUGAGG
Molecule: long non-coding RNA, 674 nt
Filed under: Nicotiana benthamiana
Lineage: Eukaryota; Viridiplantae; Streptophyta; Magnoliopsida; Solanales; Solanaceae
Description: long non-coding RNA (NBEN_LNC027904)
Source: RNAcentral